AGCUAUUUAGUUUAAUACAAGUGUUUUGAAAGCACCCUAAGAGGCAAACCUCAAUAGUUA
This 60-nucleotide transfer RNA is filed under the name Gammarus nipponensis. RNAcentral's name for it is "tRNA-Ser". Lineage: Eukaryota; Metazoa; Arthropoda; Malacostraca; Amphipoda; Gammaridae. The record is from RNAcentral.